AUGGUGUUUGGCCGGCUUUUAAGGUUUUGUUUAGUCUGUGGAGUACAAUUCUCAAUUGUCAUGAUUGCAAUUUUAUCAGGAUAAUUGGCAUAAUUUAAUUUAUAUUUCUCUAACAGGCUGCAGAGGUCUUAUCGCGCCCUAAAAGCAACUUUCUUUCACGGGGUAAAUCGGAGGCAUUUGGUGAGAAUAUUGUUAAAGAGUUCAAUUUGGAAGCCUCACAGACAUUUGAUAAUUGCAUUAGAACUGGUCCAAAAUGGUCUAUUGGUGUUAAUUCUAAGGAUGAUGUGGAUGCAGGGCUUUUAACUACAAAAAUCUUUUGCCUCGUUGAUUCACUUCUUGAAUACAGGUAUUUUAAACCUGCACCAAGGU
This 369-nucleotide unclassified non-coding RNA is filed under the name Hevea brasiliensis (rubber tree). The record is from RNAcentral. Lineage: Eukaryota; Viridiplantae; Streptophyta; Magnoliopsida; Malpighiales; Euphorbiaceae.